AUUGCGCCAAGCCUCUCUCCAUUUCUUGCAAGUUACCGAAGCGAUCACAGCAUCUCGGGCACCUCUGAGCUGGGAAAGUAUGUUACCGAUCACUUCAACAGGAAGAUGCUCCAUCCCCCAAAUAGGAAGCACAAGAUGAAACAGUUACUUCCAGAAAUGUACACGAAACAUCAAAUUCCAGCACCCAAAACCAUGAAUAUACACACCCAAUAACAGAAUUUAAAGCCGCCCAGUGUCCAUCAUCUGUACUAUUCGAUACUGAGCCGAAAAUGAUCCCGAUCGAACUUGAACACCGG
RNAcentral lists this unclassified non-coding RNA (296 nucleotides) under Hevea brasiliensis (rubber tree). The record is from RNAcentral. Lineage: Eukaryota; Viridiplantae; Streptophyta; Magnoliopsida; Malpighiales; Euphorbiaceae.